GACGAACGCUGGCGGCGUGCUUAACACAUGCAAGUCGAACGGAAAGGCCCUGCUUUUGUUGGGCUCUCGAUUGGCGAACGGGUGAGUAACACGUGUGUAACCUGCCCUUGACUUUGGGAUAACUUUAGGAAACUGGGGCUAAUACCGGAUAUGAGCUCUUGCUGCAUGGUGGGGGUUGGAAAGUUUCGGCUGUUGUGGAUGGACUCGCAGGUUAUCCGCUUGUUGGUGGGGUAGUGGCUUACCAAGCCUGUGACGGGUAGCCGGCCUGGGAGGGUGAACGGCCACAUGGAGACUGAGAUACGGCGCAGACGCGUACGGGAGGCAACGGGGGGGAAUAUUGCAGAGUAAGGGGGAGCCUGAGGCGGAGACGCCGCGAGCGGAAUAACGGCCUACGGGGUAAAAACAACUGUCGAAUGAAACAAAGAGGGAGUGACGGUAAUGGGUAAGGAAGCACCGGCUAACUACGUG
RNAcentral lists this ribosomal RNA (468 nucleotides) under uncultured bacterium. Its description in RNAcentral is "partial 16S ribosomal RNA". It matches the Rfam family "Bacterial small subunit ribosomal RNA", at positions 28 to 507 of the family's 1533-position model. The record is from RNAcentral.